AAUUAAAGGCAUGCACCACCACCACCUGGUGUUGGGACCGCAGGUGUAUGUCAUCAUGUUUGUUGGUGCAGCGCUGGGGAUUGAGCUCACAGCUCCAUGCAUGCCAGGGAACUGGAAUGUGCUAUGUUUAGUGAUCCCUGACUACUGUGCUGACCCCAGUGUCCUUCACACCUCUCCCAUCACACCCUUUCUGUGGUGGCUGGGAAUGCUGGGUUCUGAAGACAUCCUGAAUAUUGAGCCAAGAAGCCUUGCUGUGACUGAAGGUAAGGACCAGAGAUCUAUGUCAAAACAGCACCAGGAUUUCUGGUCGGAGCUACUGGGAGGAUUGCUAGAACCUGAUGGAGAGG
Molecule: long non-coding RNA, 347 nt
Filed under: Cricetulus griseus (Chinese hamster)
Lineage: Eukaryota; Metazoa; Chordata; Mammalia; Rodentia; Cricetidae
Description: lncRNA (ENSCGRG00015038134.1)
Source: RNAcentral